CAAAGUUUUAUUAUAAUUUGUUUUAUUAAUAUAUUAAAUGGGCUUGAAAUGUGGUUUUUAGACUGUAAACUAUAUAAUAAAGUCAAUAAGGCCAAACAAUUUAGUCAAUUUAAUACAAAAAUUUUCAACAUGUUUAAAUGUGCUUCCGACAGCAAAAAGAUCCGGCUCAAAAACAUAAAAAAAUCUACAUUAUUUUUAAAUAAAAAAGACCAAAAAUUUUACUGUUCAAUUUACAAAAAAAAAAGGUUUAAAAAAGUCUCUGUCGAAAGUUCAUCUUCAUCAAAUCUCCAAAUCUAGAAUAGGCAAUCGAUUUAUAGGAAGCGCUAGAGUCAUUCCCUCCCUGACCGAUUUGAAGAGAGUUCCAAAAAUUGAGAGGAUCGGGUUGGUUUUUAUUAUUCAUCCAAAUAAAGUAAGUUUUCUUUUUCCUUCAUAUAUUAUUCAAAGUAUCUGCUCCUUUGAUCCUUGAUGCUUUUUUGAAACAUGCAGUACACGAUCGUUGUUAAACUGGGGGUAAAUUUUUUUUUUUUUUUUUUGAACGAAUGUUAAAUUCUUAUUCAAAAAAGCCUUUUACAUGUGUGACCUCUGUACAUAUAACUUCUUUAGAGAUCACUAUAGAUUAUAAGGAUAUUCACAUUCUUGUAAACCAAAAUUGAAUAAUACCCUCCAAUUUCUUCCCACCUUUCCCUCUCAUUAGACUAAGCUUAUUUUUUACUCCUUUCUCAAUCAACUUCUUCAAACUCAAUAAGGGGAUGGUCUUUUCUCCAUAUCUUAUCUUAUUUCUCUCCCGCCAUAAUGUGUGGAUGGAAGCUUGUAAGGAGUACCUGAUACAGAACAGAGCUUUCUUCUCCAUGUUUCUUGCGGUAAUCAGCCUCACAGUGUCAUCCCAUUGGACCGUAUAGUCAGUACUGGGGGUAAAUUUCUGGCAUCUCCGAUCAGAUUCGUUGUUGACUCUCGAAGGAUCAAAAACUUUUUCAAAGAGCCGACAAAACAAAGAUAAAGAAUGAGACAUUUAUCCUUGGCGAAUGUUGAUAUAAGAUAGAACAUAGCACAAAGAAAGAUAAGAAGUUACCUCAUUAAAAAAAUCAAAGAAUUAAGAAUAGUUUACUUACCUUCAGGAUGACCCCCUUCUGUAUGGUCAAAAACAGGGUUCGUUUUAAGCACGAGCUCGUUUCAACUACUUAAAGCACGGGAAUCUUCUUACCAGGUACUCAUUAACUCUCCUUCAUUUGAUUCAACAAUGGAAAUGCUUGCUGGAUCAUACUUGAAUCUAGACCAGUCGACAUUUUGAUUAAAAAAAAUAUGAGCACGCAGUGCUUUCGUCAUUCACAUGGAUCAAUAUCUUCCGGUGUGGUUUACAGAGUGGUUUACAGAGUCAAUAUGAGUCUGUAAUGUUGUUGACAAAAAAAAAAUAUGAGAAAACAUUAUAUACACACCAAUCUGAAAUUUAUAUAAAGGAUAGAUUUUUUUCAACAUAACUCGCGUUUCUUUCAAUGCCAAAGCCUGAUCUAUUGGUGGAUUGAUCAGUAAUUGAGAUGUAUCAAAACAUUUGAGAUUUGAAGUUUACCUACAAACAAAAAAAACGAAAAUGAUUUUAGACCAGACUAUAACUGUGAUAAAGUAACAAAAUAAAGUAACAAAUCUAAAUUUACAAGCACUCCUAAUUGUGUUUCUUCUCUAUAGGGUUCGAAAAUAUCAUUAUUACUGUAUUCUUAUGGAGUAAUGGAGGUGAACUUUAUAAACCCAUUUUAUAAACGUGAGUGGUAGGUCGGUAUCCACCAGCUGCUGCACUUAGUGAAAAAAAUUCUAUGUUUUUCCAAUCACCCACACGGAAGUCCUGCUGCCCAAACUAAGCAAGUAGUUUUUCUUCCAUGAUGCAUCAAUUUUUGAUCCCUUGCAAUAAUGAAAAAAAAAACAGAGUUAAUAAGUCAAUAAUGCUAAGUUACAAAAACGCCAUAUAUAUUGUAUAUUACAGACAUAAAGCAGCUCAAAAUCGUUUACCUUCUCGUCAAAGAGAAUGAUCUCUAAAGUCUCACCAAAACCGGCAUUGGAUGGUUUCCAGGUGUGUAUGACUUUGGUUUCAAUCAACCAAGUUGUUUUCCAUGGCCUAAUCUCAUCAAGUUUGCAGAAUCCAAUAAACUUUCAAGCUUGGUAUCGCUGGAACAUCAUUAUCAAUAUACAAAGAGAUGGUACAUCUAAUCUAUAAGAAAAGAAAAUCAGUGUUGAUGCAAUUGAAGUUUAUUUAAAAUGUGGAUGUUACUUUGUUAUCUAAUGAUACGUUAUGUUACAUUAGGAAGAAAAAAUCAGCAUUAAGAGUUUAACGUCA
Long non-coding RNA from Brassica napus (rape), 2323 nucleotides. RefSeq lists it as uncharacterized. The record is from RefSeq and is a predicted model, not a curated record. The transcript has 3 exons. NCBI's taxonomy places the organism in Eukaryota, Viridiplantae, Streptophyta, Magnoliopsida, Brassicales, Brassicaceae.